This 382-nucleotide ribosomal RNA is filed under the name uncultured eukaryote. Its description in RNAcentral is "partial 18S ribosomal RNA". It matches the Rfam family "Eukaryotic small subunit ribosomal RNA", at positions 592 to 976 of the family's 1831-position model. The record is from RNAcentral.
UGUAAGCGUAUACCAAAGUUGUUGCAGUUAAAACGCUCGUAGUCGGAAUUUGGCAGUUCCGGAAGUGUGCACGUCGUGUGCGCACUUUGCGGGGACUGCUUUUGUGGUCUUGCGUAGGAUGAGGCACUUUCAUUAGUGAACGUCCUCACGCAACCACUCUUUACUGUGAGAAAAUCAGAGUGCUCAAAGCAGGCAUUUGCCGUGAAUGUAUUAGCAUGGAAUAAUAGAAUAGGACUCGGUUCUAUUUUGUUGGUUUGUUGGGACUGAGUAAUAAUUAAGAGGGACAGUUGGGGGCAUUUGUAUUCCGGCGCUAGAGGUGAAAUUCUUAGAUUGCCGGAAGACAAACUGCUGCGAAAGCGUCUGCCAAGGAUGUUUUCAUUGA